CGGCGGACGGGUGAGUAACACGUGGAUAACCUACCUAUAAGACUGGGAUAACUUCGGGAAACCGGGGCUAAUACCGGAUAAUAUAUUGAACCGCAUGGUUCAAUAGUGAAAGACGGUUUUGCUGUCACUUAUAGAUGGAUCCGCGCCGCAUUAGCUAGUUGGUAAGGUAACGGCUUACCAAGGCAACGAUGCGUAGCCGACCUGAGAGGGUGAUCGGCCACACUGGAACUGAGACACGGUCCAG
Molecule: ribosomal RNA, 244 nt
Filed under: uncultured Staphylococcus sp.
Lineage: Bacteria; Bacillati; Bacillota; Bacilli; Caryophanales; Staphylococcaceae
Description: partial 16S ribosomal RNA
Rfam family: Bacterial small subunit ribosomal RNA
Source: RNAcentral